AGUUUGGCGCGAUAAAAGAUUUAUCCCCUUAUUGCAAAAACACUUUUGGAAAGAAAAAACUUUUUGGACUGAUGGAUUUUUUGUUUGCUCUAUCGGUGAAGCUAACCCUGAAACUAUCAAGGCGUAUAUAGAAAAUCAAGGUUAGUUUCACUUAAGGUUUUUAUAUAGUUCCUAGCGGAACUAAAGCAUUCAUCCCAAACACUAAAGAUAUUUGGGAUUUCUGCUUGGGUGGUUUAAAAUUAAAAGCGAAUUAUUAUUUCAAAAACAAAGAAUUACUCUCUCGUAUUAACUGGGAAGUCAAGCCCAAUGAAGAAGUGUUUUGAUGGAUUAAAAAAGUUUGCAUGAAUGUUUUUUAAUUGCUUUUUAAAAAUCAUUUUCUACAACUCCUUAUCCUUGUUGCUAAAAAAGAAUGCAUCAAUUUCUAACACGGAUUUGCGUUAGAUGAUUAGUAAGAUUUAAAAUAAAGAUUAACAUUUUUGUAGUGUAGAUUAGCGUAGCUUGUUUUUAGAAAUUAGCAUGUUCUAUUUUAAAGUUAGCGCAACUUAAAUUAAAAAUUAGCACGGAUGGUUGUGUGGAUAAAUUUUUUAGUGUUUGAUCACUUUUUAAAUAGCUCGCUAUGAGUGUCUAGACGCAAUAAAACAAGUUCGUUUUCUUGUUUUUUGAUUUCAUAAAUCAAUAACAAGUUUGGCUUGACAUGACACUCUCUCAGCCCUUUAAGAUUGCCACUUAAGGCAUGGUCGCAAUAUUUUUGUUGGAGUGGUUUUUGCUCUUUGAGGCAAUCAACAACGCUUGCAACAUCGCUUUCUUUAAUACGCUAGGACUAAGAUAUGCUUAUUAAAGUCUUUAAGAAAAUCUUUCUUAGUUCUGACUUUAAGCAUUAUGCCUUUCUCUUUCUUGUUUUGCUAUUUGCAAAAAAUCAUUGAAGUCUCCAAACGAAACAUCGCAUUCUGGGUCAUCUUUUGAGGCGAUCGUAUUUAACAAACUUGGUGUGGGUUCUUUUUCUUGAGAAUGUUUUUGGGCUAAAACCUGUCUGAUCAUUUGUUCUUGCAAUUCACACUCUUGGAUUUUUUUUACCGCCUUAUUUUUAUCCCUUUCUGCCUUAAGCAAUUGUUUUUCAAUGGAGUUUAAGAAAUUGUGCAGUUGCUUUUCAUUGUAUUGCGAGUAAUCUGUAAUAAUAUUUGACAUAUUGAACUCCUUUUUAAUAAGAGAUUGUUAGUAAAGAUUAUAGCCCAAAUUCUUGUAAAAAAUUGGUUUGAAAAGAGCAAAUUGAAAGUUUUAAAAUAAGUUUUUUUUGAUUAAGU
This 1301-nucleotide ribosomal RNA is filed under the name Helicobacter pylori Hp A-26. RNAcentral's name for it is "partial 16S ribosomal RNA". Lineage: Bacteria; Pseudomonadati; Campylobacterota; Epsilonproteobacteria; Campylobacterales; Helicobacteraceae. The record is from RNAcentral.